Molecule: ribosomal RNA, 253 nt
Filed under: uncultured bacterium
Lineage: Bacteria
Description: partial 16S ribosomal RNA
Rfam family: Bacterial small subunit ribosomal RNA
Source: RNAcentral
GACGUAGGGGGCAAGCGUUAUUCGGAAUUAUUGGGCGUAAAGCGCUCGUAGGCGGGACUGGAAGUCCGUGUUGAAAGACCUCGGCUCAACUGAGGGACCGGCUCGGAUACUCUAGUACUUGAGGCAAUCAGAGGGUGAUGGAAUUCCCGGUGUAGAGGUGAAAUUCGUAGAUAUUCGCAAGAACACCAGUGGCGAAGGCGGCUCACUGGCCCGGUACUGACGCUGAGGCACGAAAGCGUGGGGAGCAAACAGG